AAAGAAAAGUUAAUAAACGGCAUGGGUCUUGGUGGGGAAUUUCCGUAGAUCACAGUAGAACCCCAGCUCACCCAUGGCCAUCUGGAGAAGGAGCAACAGCCAGCAUCAACAGUGCUGCAGAAGAGUUACCAUAAGAUUACACCAAGCAUCAUUUGCAAAUGACACCGAGUUGGGAGAAACUAGAAUCAGAAGUGGC
Callorhinchus milii (elephant shark) is the source of this 196-nucleotide long non-coding RNA. RefSeq lists it as uncharacterized. The record is from RefSeq and is a predicted model, not a curated record. Lineage: Eukaryota; Metazoa; Chordata; Chondrichthyes; Chimaeriformes; Callorhinchidae. The transcript is spliced from 3 exons.